Molecule: transfer RNA, 69 nt
Filed under: Notopterus notopterus (bronze featherback)
Lineage: Eukaryota; Metazoa; Chordata; Actinopteri; Osteoglossiformes; Notopteridae
Description: tRNA-Phe
Source: RNAcentral
GCCAGCGUAGCUUAAAUAAAGCACAACAUUGAAGCUGUUAAGAUGGGCCCUAAUAAGACCCCGCAAGCA